This 1120-nucleotide ribosomal RNA is filed under the name Lactiplantibacillus pentosus. Its description in RNAcentral is "bacterial SSU rRNA". It matches the Rfam family "Bacterial small subunit ribosomal RNA", at positions 147 to 1254 of the family's 1533-position model. Lineage: Bacteria; Bacillati; Bacillota; Bacilli; Lactobacillales; Lactobacillaceae. The record is from RNAcentral.
CACCUGGAAACAGAUGCUAAUACCGCAUAACAACUUGGACCGCAUGGUCCGAGUUUGAAAGAUGGCUUCGGCUAUCACUUUUGGAUGGUCCCGCGGCGUAUUAGCUAGAUGGUGGGGUAACGGCUCACCAUGGCAAUGAUACGUAGCCGACCUGAGAGGGUAAUCGGCCACAUUGGGACUGAGACACGGCCCAAACUCCUACGGGAGGCAGCAGUAGGGAAUCUUCCACAAUGGACGAAAGUCUGAUGGAGCAACGCCGCGUGAGUGAAGAAGGGUUUCGGCUCGUAAAACUCUGUUGUUAAAGAAGAACAUAUCUGAGAGUAACUGUUCAGGUAUUGACGGUAUUUAACCAGAAAGCCACGGCUAACUACGUGCCAGCAGCCGCGGUAAUACGUAGGUGGCAAGCGUUGUCCGGAUUUAUUGGGCGUAAAGCGAGCGCAGGCGGUUUUUUAAGUCUGAUGUGAAAGCCUUCGGCUCAACCGAAGAAGUGCAUCGGAAACUGGGAAACUUGAGUGCAGAAGAGGACAGUGGAACUCCAUGUGUAGCGGUGAAAUGCGUAGAUAUAUGGAAGAACACCAGUGGCGAAGGCGGCUGUCUGGUCUGUAACUGACGCUGAGGCUCGAAAGUAUGGGUAGCAAACAGGAUUAGAUACCCUGGUAGUCCAUACCGUAAACGAUGAAUGCUAAGUGUUGGAGGGUUUCCGCCCUUCAGUGCUGCAGCUAACGCAUUAAGCAUUCCGCCUGGGGAGUACGGCCGCAAGGCUGAAACUCAAAGGAAUUGACGGGGGCCCGCACAAGCGGUGGAGCAUGUGGUUUAAUUCGAAGCUACGCGAAGAACCUUACCAGGUCUUGACAUACUAUGCAAAUCUAAGAGAUUAGACGUUCCCUUCGGGGACAUGGAUACAGGUGGUGCAUGGUUGUCGUCAGCUCGUGUCGUGAGAUGUUGGGUUAAGUCCCGCAACGAGCGCAACCCUUAUUAUCAGUUGCCAGCAUUAAGUUGGGCACUCUGGUGAGACUGCCGGUGACAAACCGGAGGAAGGUGGGGAUGACGUCAAAUCAUCAUGCCCCUUAUGACCUGGGCUACACACGUGCUACAAUGGAUGGUACAACGAGUUGCGAAC